ACUACGGGAGGCAGCAGUGAGGAAUAUUGGUCAAUGGACGAGAGUCUGAACCAGCCAAGUAGCGUGAAGGAUGACUGCCCUAUGGGUUGUAAACUUCUUUUAUAUGGGAAUAAAAUGUUCCACGUGUGGGAUUUUGUAUGUACCAUAUGAAUAAGGAUCGGCUAACUCCGUGCCAGCAGCCGCGGUAAUACGGAGGACCCGAGCGUUAUCCGGAUUUAUUGGGGUGAAAGGGCGCGUAGGGGGAUUGUUAAGUCAGGUGUGAAAGUUUGCGGCUCAACCGUAAAAUUGCAGUUGAAACUGGCAGUCAUGAGUACAGUAGAGGUGGGCGGAAUUCGUGGUGUAGCGGUGAAAUGCUUAGAUAUCACGAAGAACUCCGAUUGCGAAGGCAGCUCACUGGACUGCAACUGACACUGAGGCUCGAAAGUGUGGGUAUCAAACAGGAUUAGAUACCCUUGUAGUC
RNAcentral lists this ribosomal RNA (460 nucleotides) under uncultured bacterium. RNAcentral's name for it is "partial 16S ribosomal RNA". It matches the Rfam family "Bacterial small subunit ribosomal RNA", at positions 338 to 795 of the family's 1533-position model. The record is from RNAcentral.